UCUAUCCAUUUAUUUUGUGUGUAUAAAUAUUUCCUUCGCAAGAAAGUAGAGAGAGAGAAGAAAAGAGGGCCGGAUGAAUAUGUACAGACGAAGAUUUAGAAGGGAGAAAGGCGGCUAUCGUUCCAGAUCCUCCGACGUCAUUCUCUUUCUUGGCUGGAAGCUGCUGGCUGGCUGACUGGCUGUUGCUAAGCCGGCCAUCGAGAGAAAACCGCCGUUACUUAUUGCCAUGAGUCUAACGAAAAGCAGCCCGAAAUAGCAACGCCGCCAGCUCUUUAAGGACCAAUAAAAUUUAAAAAAAAACAAGAAAAACCCCAACUGUUGGCCGCUAGACAAGGGCGACCUGAGCGAUUC
This is a long non-coding RNA of Daphnia pulex (common water flea), 351 nucleotides long. RefSeq lists it as uncharacterized. The transcript has 2 exons. Lineage: Eukaryota; Metazoa; Arthropoda; Branchiopoda; Diplostraca; Daphniidae. The record is from RefSeq and is a predicted model, not a curated record.